AUUGAACGCUGGCGGCAUGCUUUACACAUGCAAGUCGAACGGUAACAGGGUGCUUGCACCGCUGACGAGUGGCGAACGGGUGAGUAAUGCGUCGGAACGUGCCGAGUAGUGGGGGAUAACGCAGCGAAAGUUGUGCUGAUACCGCAUACGUACUGAGGUAGAAAGUGGGGGACCUUCGGGCCUCACGCUAUUCGAGCGACCGACGUCUGAUUAGCUAGUAGGUGAGGUAAAGGCUCACCUAGGCGACGAUCAGUAGCGGGUCUGAGAGGAUGAUCCGCCACACUGGGACUGAGACACGGCCCAGACUCCUACGGGAGGCAGCAGUGGGGAAUUUUGGACAAUGGGCGAAAGCCUGAUCCAGCCAUGCCGCGUGUCUGAAGAAGGCCUUCGGGUUGUAAAGGACUUUUGUCAGGGAGGAAAUCCCUAGUGCUAAUAACACUGGGGGAUGACAGUACCUGAAGAAUAAGCACCGGCUAACUACGUGCCAGCCGCCGCCGUAA
RNAcentral lists this ribosomal RNA (500 nucleotides) under uncultured bacterium. RNAcentral describes it as "partial 16S ribosomal RNA". It matches the Rfam family "Bacterial small subunit ribosomal RNA", at positions 30 to 523 of the family's 1533-position model. The record is from RNAcentral.